RNAcentral lists this non-coding RNA (87 nucleotides) under Billgrantia gudaonensis. Lineage: Bacteria; Pseudomonadati; Pseudomonadota; Gammaproteobacteria; Oceanospirillales; Halomonadaceae. The record is from RNAcentral.
GUCUAUGGCGGCUGUGCGUGGGAGCCCUUCGGGGCUGCCGGGUUCCAAGUCUCCCGGUUCGCCAACCUGCGUACAGCCGCCCCCAUC